RNAcentral lists this ribosomal RNA (253 nucleotides) under uncultured bacterium. Its description in RNAcentral is "partial 16S ribosomal RNA". It matches the Rfam family "Bacterial small subunit ribosomal RNA", at positions 524 to 776 of the family's 1533-position model. The record is from RNAcentral.
UACGUAGGGUGCGAGCGUUGUCCGGAAUUAUUGGGCGUAAAGGGCUUGUAGGCGGUUUGUCGCGUCUGCUGUGAAAAUCCGGGGCUCAACCCCGGACUUGCAGUGGGUACGGGCAGACUGGAGUGUGGUAGGGGAGACUGGAAUUCCUGGUGUAGCGGUGGAAUGCGCAGAUAUCAGGAGGAACACCGAUGGCGAAGGCAGGUCUCUGGGCCACUACUGACGCUGAGAAGCGAAAGCAUGGGGAGCGAAUGGG